This 72-nucleotide transfer RNA is filed under the name Bos taurus (domestic cattle). It matches the Rfam family "tRNA". Rfam says of the family: Transfer RNA (tRNA) molecules are approximately 80 nucleotides in length. Lineage: Eukaryota; Metazoa; Chordata; Mammalia; Artiodactyla; Bovidae. RNAcentral also lists the same sequence under 2 other names. The record is from Rfam by way of RNAcentral.
UCCCGGGUGGCUCAGACGGUAAAGCAUCUGCCUGCAAUGUGGGAGACCCUGGUUCGAUUCCUGGGUCGAGAA